UAUUCAAGAAAAUUUGGCAGUCAAAAUAUAGCAUAAGCUAGAAAGUGAAUUGAGAAAAUAAUAGAAGCAUCUCAAUAAUCAAUGUGGGGUGCGUUUUCCCAAGUGCUAGGCCUCGUAACAGCAGUGUAACAAAAGACACGCUUAAUUGUUGUGGCUUAGUUUAAAGACCGAGAUACGUAAACUCAUUUUUCCUCUAAGACUUUUUUCCCACCGUGAAAACCUGCCAAAGCUAGACUUCAGUGUUCGCGCACAAUCAGGUCGUCUCGCCUAUGACAGGUUUAAAUCAAUAUUCAACCAGGUCUAACAGCAACCUCUAUGCCGUUUGCCGCAGAUGUUAAUGUAACCGUUCACCAUCACCACUGGUUGUUGGAUCCACUUGUCGGAUACGCAGUAACCUCUCGUUGUUAAAUUUGUUGGAUAAACUGUUCUUUUGACAUCUUCUGAAAAGUGCAGAGACUAUCAGUCUCGAAUUUAUAUGCAUGCUUUUCAAUCACCACUCUAUUACUGGUCCACUUGAGGGCGCGAAUUCGAAUGGCACUGGGGACGUCGUAUGGAGAACACAAAGCAGCUGAUUCUGAUUUUUAUUUAGAAUAAUAAUAGAAUUUAUUUAGAGCAAUCACAUGUGAUCUAACCUGGAUAAACAUCUGAGGGUUAUGAUUACUACGGUCACGGUCACUGUUUACUGAGAACCGCCGUAACCUUGUUGCAACACGGAUCUUUUAGCUGAAGCCGAGUCGUAAAAUGACUAUCGACCGCCUAUAGCAAAACUGAGUCGGAUCUGCCGAUGGGCGAUAGCCAGGUACAGCGAGGGAUCGUUGCAACAUUGCUAAAAUAUUUAGACUCGCUUUUGCCUCAACAUCAUCAUCAUCAUCAUCAUUAUUAUGUAUGAAGAGGCCGCGUCCUCUAAUCUUCGAUACGCAUAAUAAACAACCGUAAAUGGCCGAAACGGAACGCCACGGUACCGAUAACCCCAGCGGAGAGAACAAACCGAAUGAUGAGAUGAGUUGAAGUAACUGAUGAUAGACAAUGCAACCGAACGCCAAACUGGUGAUACAUCGAAAAUCGACAACCCAUAACGACGACGGCAACAACGGCCACUAAUCUUACCAAUGUUAAUAUUGUUCGAGCCACUGCUGUUGUCACCGCUGGUACUAGUAUCGCUAAAUAUAUCAGAUAGGUAUCGCUGGAAAGACGAUUAUACCUGGAACGAGAAAAUACGUUUGGUCGAUAGAAAUGACCGGCACAUGAACUCACGCACACACAGCGAGAUAAGCAGACGAAUGAAUGGAUGGAUGGAUGGAUGAAGAACGUUGUGACACUAGAGUAAAUCGGUCUUGCAUCAUGUUAUGACAACAGCGUCGCAUUGAGCUUGUCGUAUUCCUUGCUUGCUUUUCCUCAGCGGACGUCUAUCAGCACGCUAUAAGCUAAUAAUAUUUAAAUGUACCGUAUACAUGACAUCGAAGAUAAAGGGUUCAAGGGCUCCGGCCGAUUCGUUCAAGGGCAGCCGGGUAGGCGGAUAAGGCGCGAGCACUGUGGUGGCUCCAGGUGCCGUUUCGAAUUGACUGUAUGAAUUUUUGUGCUUGGCCUUCUGCUUGUUUGUUGUUGUUGUUGUUGUUGUUACCGUUGUUGCUGUUGUUACCGUUGUUGCUGAAGUGAAUGAUGUGUCUGUAUGAUCUAUCUAUACAAGUAACGUAUAGGAAAGAACUGCCAAACCGUAAAUGGCGUUCUAUUGUCACGCACCGUUCAACUCACAGCCAACAAUCCAAGGUACAUAUGUGUAUAGCAGUACAGAAUCAACAAGCUGAAACCUUUAACUUUUUAUAGCAAAGGUAAACGAAGGCAAGGUGAACAAUAAUUGCAUUCUGUUGGAUCGAUGCGUUUUAUGGGGCCCAUUUAUCAAUUGCGAUGUUAGAGGAACCUGAUUAGAAAACGAUGGCUUAUUUAUCGCCUACCUCGUGUAAAAAGCAUAGCAUUUUAUUUUAACUUACGAAUCUAUACAUAAAAUGAUGUUUUUUUUUUCCAUUGUUAUACUUGUUUUUGCUUUAUGAUAUUCAUUUAUCUAUUUGGCGAAAAGCCGAUGGUUGCAGAGGCUCUAUCUAUUCACUGAAAAUCAACGGCAUCAGGCGGUAUCAACAAACAUCAAAGAUGAUACCGCAGUCGUAUAACCGAGGGAAAAUUUUGACGAAUUUUAUGGGGAGCAAUACUUAAUCUACAACACAAAUUUCGCUGCGCGACGCAUAAUUUUUAUCGUGUGAGCUAAAACUAGACUCAUUAGAACGUUUUCCAGUUCGUCAUAAUCAGACUUUCGUUUAAUUAAGGCGAUGAAGGAAGAAAAUAGGAAGGACGUUCGACGUGAAGUAUUAAAACUGACCUAUUCUGGACUAUCGCGCGUUUUUAAGAGUAUGAAUAUAAUAAAGCAAGAAAAAAAGCUCGAACGAUUGCAGUUGUUACAAAACAGUCUCAUGACGUAUACAAUGUGCAUUGCAUCGUUAUAGUUUAACAGCAAUUGGUUUGAAACAACCUUUGGGUUGAAAAUACAUCAAGAAUAGGUUUAAACAUAAGAUCUCAGCUUUUUGGGACAUCCUGAAACAACUAAAUGGCAAAGGUCAAUUUUAACACGGCUGAGAAGUUCGAAAGUCCGAAUUGGCCCAGCAAAAAAAUCCAACAACGCAGACCUGUUAGUAAAUAAGCUUGACAUCUGGUGUCAUCUUCUUACUCUUGGUAAAUGUGUACUGUCUUUAAAAACUGCACACAGAAAUAGAAUAAAAUAAUCUCGCGUUUAGAUGAUGUCGUCCAGUCUCAUUUCGUCAGCAUACUGUGAAACAGCUUCGCAAAGUAGCGUCUCAGUAAGGUCAUCAUUAUUACCAAUGGAGCUAUAACAGGUUACAAUAGGUGAAACUCUUGAGUCGCUACUGGUAGUGCUGAGAAAUUAUCGGUGGAAAUCGGGGAAACAGUUAAAUUUGUAUCGCAAAAUACGCUUAAAGCUAGAUUUGAGAAAUUUUGCACAGACGAGGAGUUUCCCACUUGUGACUCGAUCAUAGCGGAAGACUUCACUACGACAGUAAUUUAGUCCACAUACAUAAAAUUAUUUUUGGAUGCGCGUUUCUUUAGGGUUUUGCAUACAAGUCUACCACCAUCUUGUUUAAAAAUCAUAAUUAUCUUCGACUAUGGCUACAGUUAAAGCUACUCCUUGUCGUCUGGUUCCAUUAUUCAAUACUGUGAAAGAGCUGGCCCGGGCUCUGAGAACCCGCAUUUCUACUAAAUCGACGUUUCUGUGUUGGUUACAUUGAAAAACAUCACAGCCGUUGCACAUCUGUAUGAGUCUCUGCGUGGCGGUACAGUCCUGGAACCCGUACACAUGUUUACGUUAAAGUACGUUAAGAAGCAACGCUUCCGUAACUAAUCUGGAUAAAAAAAAAACAAAUCAGAACUACUAAGAUAUCAAUAAAGGGUUCAAGAAUCAGUAGAUCCUUCUAUCUGGGAAAAGCGUGUCCCAAAUUGUUUCGUCAAGGCAGCUGCGAUUUUUUCAUACUGGCGAAGGAGUUGGACACGAAUUAGUCUUAUGAUCACAUCAUGAUCCAUAUGGGAUCUAGACUACUUGUUUGUGGUCCGUGUCUAUACUGCGGUAAAAAAACCACCGUGACAUGCAAAUAAACGUUGACAAACUAAGUUGCCGGAUGAAAAAUCUGUGCUUUUUUAACCUGAUGUCAUGACACCGCAUGAGGAAAGCAUGAGGAAGCAGCUGCCUGUCAACAGAACUCAAAGGAAGGGCAACCAUUCAGAAGAGCCCUCUCUUACGCUUCUGUGC
Varroa destructor (honeybee mite) is the source of this 3808-nucleotide long non-coding RNA. RefSeq lists it as uncharacterized. The record is from RefSeq and is a predicted model, not a curated record. NCBI's taxonomy places the organism in Eukaryota, Metazoa, Arthropoda, Arachnida, Mesostigmata, Varroidae.